UCGAGGUUGAGCCGUUGAGGAGCGUCUUCGUGAGGUUGAGAAGAAAAGGGUCUCUGCUGGUGGAAUGGCUGACGGUACGCAGAUAAAUUUAUUGAUUUUUUAAUUUAAAAAUAAAAAAAAACUUACCAUUGUGAAGAGGUGUUGCUCUCGCCUCUCCAGCCUGAGGCGUGGCCUCCCCAAAGUCUAGCCAGGUGUUCCAGUCGAGGCGACAGAGGGUCGCCUCGCUCACCUUGGAUGACACUGAUGCUUAUUUGGAGGUAAAGGAAUAAAACAAUUAAGGGUUAACACUUACCUCCUUUACACCUGUUUGUAUAACUUUUUUAAAGGGUGAUAAUUGUUAAGCCCCAUUUGGUGUAAUUUUGUUAGCCCCCAUUCCCUUAAGUUAAAAGGUUGCUCCCAUAAUAUAUUGUCCUCUCUUUUACCACUAUCACACCUUUCAACACCCCUCCCCCCUCUUCCCACCUGAAAGUUCUUGAACCUCCAAACACACCCACCCUUAGGAUAAAGGACAGGUUUUACGCUAUGUUUGUAUUAUUUCCAUUUUGUUGCCAAAAUGAAGACAAAUUUAGCAAACAUGUUGGUGGCAAGCUCUAAUUCCUGGUUUUAGGCCAAAAGCAUUGUGGGUCUAGUUGCAAGUUAGGGUGUGGAAGCGAAUUGUGACAUAAUACGUGACUUUAUGAAAUUUGGCAGUAAUUGCAUAUAUGAAUAGUGUUUAGUGUUAAUUUGGGUUUGACGGGGAUGAGUUCCCAUGUAAAUUUUAACAGGUAAAUGUGUUUGCCACCCUAGUUUUGAAGUUAAGAAGCAAAGGGGCUGUCGGUCAUUCUAUAUAUAUAUAUAUGUGUGUGUG
Molecule: unclassified non-coding RNA, 847 nt
Filed under: Hevea brasiliensis (rubber tree)
Lineage: Eukaryota; Viridiplantae; Streptophyta; Magnoliopsida; Malpighiales; Euphorbiaceae
Source: RNAcentral